RNAcentral lists this ribosomal RNA (253 nucleotides) under uncultured bacterium. Its description in RNAcentral is "partial 16S ribosomal RNA". It matches the Rfam family "Bacterial small subunit ribosomal RNA", at positions 524 to 776 of the family's 1533-position model. The record is from RNAcentral.
UACGAAGGGGGCUAGCGUUGCUCGGAAUUACUGGGCGUAAAGGGCGCGUAGGCGGAUAUUUAAGUCGGGGGUGAAAGCCCGGGGCUCAACCUCGGAAUUGCCUUCGAUACUGGAUAUCUUGAGUACGGGAGAGGUGAGUGGAACUCCGAGUGUAGAGGUGAAAUUCGUAGAUAUUCGGAAGAACACCAGUGGCGAAGGCGACUCACUGGCCCGUUACUGACGCUGAGGCGCGAAAGCGUGGGGAGCAAACAGG